UACGUAGGGACCGAGCGUUGUCCGGAUUCAUUGGGCGUAAAGAGCUCGUAGGCGGCUGUUCAAGUCGAACGUGAAAACUCGGAGCUCAACUCCGAGCCUGCGUUCGAUACUGGACGGCUAGAGUCUGGUAGGGGAGAAUGGAAUUUCCGGUGUAGCGGUGAAAUGCGCAGAUAUCGGGAGGAACACCGGUGGCGAAGGCGGUUCUCUGGGCCUUACCUGACGCUGAGGAGCGAAAGCGUGGGGAGCGAACAGG
This 253-nucleotide ribosomal RNA is filed under the name uncultured bacterium. RNAcentral's name for it is "partial 16S ribosomal RNA". It matches the Rfam family "Bacterial small subunit ribosomal RNA", at positions 524 to 776 of the family's 1533-position model. The record is from RNAcentral.